This 253-nucleotide ribosomal RNA is filed under the name uncultured bacterium. Its description in RNAcentral is "partial 16S ribosomal RNA". It matches the Rfam family "Bacterial small subunit ribosomal RNA", at positions 524 to 776 of the family's 1533-position model. The record is from RNAcentral.
UACGUAGGGUGCGAGCGUUAAUCGGAAUUACUGGGCGUAAAGCGUGCGCAGGCGGUUCGUUGUGUCGGUGGUGAAAUCCCCGGGCUUAACCUGGGAAUGGCCAUGGAAACUGGCGAACUGGAGUGCGGCAGAGGGGGGUGGAAUUCCGCGUGUAGCAGUGAAAUGCGCAGAUAUCAGGAGGAACACCGGUGGCGAAGGCGGGUCUCUGGGCCGAUACUGACGCUGAGGAGCGAAAGCGUGGGGAGCGAACAGG